This 28-nucleotide small RNA is filed under the name Bombyx mori (domestic silkworm). RNAcentral's name for it is "ovarian small RNA-5989". Lineage: Eukaryota; Metazoa; Arthropoda; Insecta; Lepidoptera; Bombycidae. The record is from RNAcentral.
UACAUUAUGUCUAGAUGUAUUGAAAUAG